RNAcentral lists this long non-coding RNA (322 nucleotides) under Canis lupus familiaris (dog). Its description in RNAcentral is "lncRNA (ENSCAFG00000056834.1, ENSCAFG00805002647.1)". Lineage: Eukaryota; Metazoa; Chordata; Mammalia; Carnivora; Canidae. The record is from RNAcentral.
CCAGCAGACUGGCUUUGUGAAAAAAAGAGUUGUAAUUGUUUUUGCUUGAUUGUUGUUUCAGGUAAGAGUGAAUUUGGCUACAAGUAAUGGUGCAGUGGCUGGUUCCUGGCAGUGGCUCCAAUCUCUUUGGGGUUGUUUCCCACGGAUGUGAAGGAGCUGAGAACUUGAGGAAGGUGAUGCCUCCUCGCUAGGUGCCUGCCUAUGACUGAGGAUCAUUAGAGGUUGACAGCCAUUGUGGAGGCACCCAAAACACCAAAAGGAGGUUAGUUACUGAUGCUCUCUGUGUUCAUUGUCUUCUGCUUCAAUUAUGUCUUUCUAGAUG